This 405-nucleotide ribosomal RNA is filed under the name uncultured bacterium. RNAcentral's name for it is "partial 16S ribosomal RNA". It matches the Rfam family "Bacterial small subunit ribosomal RNA", at positions 28 to 526 of the family's 1533-position model. The record is from RNAcentral.
GAUGAACGCUGGCGGCAUGCCUAAUACAUGCAAGUCGAGCGGAGCGGGGACGGGUGAGUAACACGUGGAUAACCUCCUAUAAGACGGGGAAAACUUCGGGAAACCGGAGCUAAACCGGAAACUUAUAGAUGGAUCCGCGCUGCUUUAGCUAGUUGGUAAGGUAACGGCUUACCAAGGCAACGAUGCAUAGCAGGUCUGAGAGGGUGACCAGCCACACUGGAACUGGGACACGGUCCAGACUCCGACGGGAGGCAGCAGUGGGGAAUUUUGCGCAAUGGGCGAAAGCCUGACGGAGCAACGCCGCGUGUGUGAUGAAGGUCUUCGGAUCGUAAAGCUCUGUUAUCAGGGAAGCGGUACCUAAUCAGAAAGCCACGGCUAACUACGUGCCAGCAGCCGCGGUAAUUC